CCUACGGGAGGCAGCAGUGGUGAAUAUUGGACAAUGGGGGGAACCCUGAUCCAGCCAUGCCGCGUGUGUGAAGAAGGCCCUCGGGUUGUAAAGCACUUUCAGUGAGGAAGAACGCCUGGUGGUUAAUACCCAUCAGGAAAGACAUCACUCACAGAAGAAGCACCGGCUAACUCCGUGCCAGCAGCCGCGGUAAUACGGAGGGUGCGAGCGUUAAUCGGAAUUACUGGGCGUAAAGCGCGCGUAGGUGGCUUGAUAAGCCGGUUGUGAAAGCCCCGGGCUCAACCUGGGAACGGCAUCCGGAACUGUCAAGCUAGAGUGCAGGAGAGGAAGGUAGAAUUCCCGGUGUAGCGGUGAAAUGCGUAGAGAUCGGGAGGAAUACCAGUGGCGAAGGCGGCCUUCUGGACUGACACUGACACUGAGGUGCGAAAGCGUGGGUAGCAAACAGGAUUAGAUACCCCAGUAGUC
Molecule: ribosomal RNA, 465 nt
Filed under: Vreelandella stevensii
Lineage: Bacteria; Pseudomonadati; Pseudomonadota; Gammaproteobacteria; Oceanospirillales; Halomonadaceae
Description: partial 16S ribosomal RNA
Rfam family: Bacterial small subunit ribosomal RNA
Source: RNAcentral